AUUGAACGCUGGCGGCAUGCCUUACACAUGCAAGUCGAACGGCAGCACGGGUGCUAGCACCUGGUGGCGAGUGGCGAACGGGUGAGUAAUACAUCGGAACGUACCUUAUCGUGGGGGAUAACGCAGCGAAAGCUGUGCUAAUACCGCAUACGCCCUGAGGGGGAAAGCGGGGGAUCGCAAGACCUCGCGCGAUUAGAGCGGCCGAUGCCUGAUUAGCUUGUUGGUGGGGUAAAAGCCCACCAAGGCGACGAUCAGUAGCUGGUCUGAGAGGACGAUCAGCCGAACGGGGACUGGGACACGGGCCAGACUCCUACGGGAGGCAGCAGUGGGGAAUUUUGGACAAUGGGGGCAACCCUGAUCCAGCAAUGCAGCGUGAGUGAAGAAGGCCUUCGGGUUGUAAAGCUCUUUUGUCAGGGAAGAAACACCGGCUCUAACACAGUCUGGGAAUGACGGUACCUGAAGAAUAAGCACCGGCUAACUACGUGCCAGCCGCCGCCGUAA
RNAcentral lists this ribosomal RNA (501 nucleotides) under uncultured bacterium. RNAcentral's name for it is "partial 16S ribosomal RNA". It matches the Rfam family "Bacterial small subunit ribosomal RNA", at positions 29 to 523 of the family's 1533-position model. The record is from RNAcentral.